Molecule: small RNA, 30 nt
Filed under: Arabidopsis thaliana (thale cress)
Lineage: Eukaryota; Viridiplantae; Streptophyta; Magnoliopsida; Brassicales; Brassicaceae
Description: ATSL299580
Source: RNAcentral
UCUCUUCAGCACAGGACAGCAGAACCCACU